This 879-nucleotide ribosomal RNA is filed under the name uncultured bacterium. RNAcentral's name for it is "bacterial SSU rRNA". It matches the Rfam family "Bacterial small subunit ribosomal RNA", at positions 30 to 891 of the family's 1533-position model. The record is from RNAcentral.
UGAACGCUGGCGGCGUGCCUAAUACAUGCAAGUAGAACGCUGAAGCUUGGUGCUUGCACCGAGCGGAUGAGUUGCGAACGGGUGAGUAACGCGUAGGUAACCUGCCUCUUAGCGGGGGAUAACUAUUGGAAACGAUAGCUAAUACCGCAUAAAAGUCGAUAUCGCAUGAUAUUGAUUUGAAAGGUGCAAAUGCAUCACUAAGAGAUGGACCUGCGUUGUAUUAGCUAGUUGGUGAGGUAACGGCUCACCAAGGCGACGAUACAUAGCCGACCUGAGAGGGUGAUCGGCCACACUGGGACUGAGACACGGCCCAGACUCCUACGGGAGGCAGCAGUAGGGAAUCUUCGGCAAUGGGGGCAACCCUGACCGAGCAACGCCGCGUGAGUGAAGAAGGUUUUCGGAUCGUAAAGCUCUGUUGUAAGAGAAGAACGAGUGUGAGAGUGGAAAGUUCACGCUGUGACGGUAUCUUACCAGAAAGGGACGGCUAACUACGUGCCAGCAGCCGCGGUAAUACGUAGGUCCCGAGCGUUAUCCGGAUUUAUUGGGCGUAAAGCGAGCGCAGGCGGUUAGAUAAGUCUGAAGUUAAAGGCUGUGGCUUAACCAUAGUACGCUUUGGAAACUGUUUAACUUGAGUGCAGAAGGGGAGAGUGGAAUUCCAUGUGUAGCGGUGAAAUGCGUAGAUAUAUGGAGGAACACCGGUGGCGAAAGCGGCUCUCUGGUCUGUAACUGACGCUGAGGCUCGAAAGCGUGGGGAGCAAACAGGAUUAGAUACCCUGGUAGUCCACGCCGUAAACGAUGAGUGCUAGGUGUUGGGUCCUUUCCGGGACUCAGUGCCGCAGCUAACGCAUUAAGCACUCCGCCUGGGGAGUACGACCGCAA